AACGAACGCUGGCGGCAUGCCUAACACAUGCAAGUCGAACGAGGCCUUCGGGUCUAGUGGCGCACGGGUGCGUAACGCGUGGGAACCUGCCCUUAGGUUCGGAAUAACUCCCCGAAAGGGGUGCUAAUACCGGAUAAUGUCUUCGGACCAAAGAUUUAUCGCCUUUGGAUGGGCCCGCGUUGGAUUAGCUAGUUGGUAGGGUAAAAGCCUACCAAGGCGACGAUCCAUAGCUGGUCUGAGAGGAUGAUCAGCCACACUGGGACUGAGACACGGCCCAGACUCCUACGGGAGGCAGCAGUGGGGAAUAUUGGACAAUGGGCGAAAGCCUGAUCCAGCAAUGCCACGUGAGUGAUGAAGGCCUUAGGGUUGUAAAGCUCUUUUACCCGGGAUGAUAAUGACAGUACCGGGAGAAUAAGCUCCGGCUAACUCCGUG
Molecule: ribosomal RNA, 433 nt
Filed under: uncultured bacterium
Lineage: Bacteria
Description: partial 16S ribosomal RNA
Rfam family: Bacterial small subunit ribosomal RNA
Source: RNAcentral